UACGGAGGGUGCAAGCGUUGUCCGGAUUUAUUGGGUUUAAAGGGUGCGUAGGCGGCCUUGUAAGUCAGUGGUGAAAUACUCCAGCUUAACUGGAGGGGUGCCAAUGAUACUGCAGGGCUUGAGUACAGAUGAGGUAGGCGGAAUUGACGGUGUAGCGGUGAAAUGCAUAGAUAUCGUCAAGAACACCGAGUAGCGAAGGCAGCUUACUGGGCUGUAACUGACGGCUGAGGCACGAAAGUGUGGGGAUCAAACAGG
Molecule: ribosomal RNA, 255 nt
Filed under: uncultured bacterium
Lineage: Bacteria
Description: partial 16S ribosomal RNA
Rfam family: Bacterial small subunit ribosomal RNA
Source: RNAcentral